RNAcentral lists this transfer RNA (64 nucleotides) under Glossotermes oculatus. Its description in RNAcentral is "tRNA-His". Lineage: Eukaryota; Metazoa; Arthropoda; Insecta; Blattodea; Rhinotermitidae. The record is from RNAcentral.
AUUCAGGUAUUUUAAUAUAAAAUGUUGGUUUGUGGUGCCAAUGAUACGCUUGUUGUUCUGGGUU